RNAcentral lists this long non-coding RNA (441 nucleotides) under Hordeum vulgare. RNAcentral's name for it is "long non-coding RNA (HVUL_LNC009019)". Lineage: Eukaryota; Viridiplantae; Streptophyta; Magnoliopsida; Poales; Poaceae. The record is from RNAcentral.
ACGAGCCCAAAGAAAAAAAUUGUAGUGGCUGCCACAUCACCAACUAAAGUAGAUCUCUGGCUUAGAAAAGAUCCCAUCGAAAUAUCUACGUACUAUUACCACCAAAAUUUACGCAGAAGGGUGUUCGUAUUCAUCAGCUCUCCAACCAUUACAUCCAAAAUUAUUCAAGAUCAAAGAGUUUUAUUCAUCGGGGUUUCCGUGUGCUUCUCUCGUUCCGAGCCGGCCUCGCCUUGCGUGCCUGCCUGCGCCAUGGCCUCUCCAUGAGCCCCUCCGGCUGCGUGGGUCCUUGAUGAAUCUUUCUCCGUGUAUGAAUAGUGAUCGGGGAUGGAUGAUGGAUGGAUCCUCCCCUGUGCCUGCAUGAUGGAUCAAGUGCUAUUCAUGAUUCAACUACGAUGGUACAUUUGAAUAGACUAAGUCAUCAACCACUCAAAUAUAUCGCGU